UACGUAGGGUGCGAGCGUUAAUCGGAAUUACUGGGCGUAAAGCGUGCGCAGGCGGUUUUGUAAGCCAGAUGUGAAAUCCCCGGGCUUAACCUGGGAAUGGCAUUUGGGACUGCAAGGCUUGAGUGCGGCAGAGGAGACUGGAAUUCCUGGUGUAGCAGUGAAAUGCGUGGAUAUCAGGAGGAACACCGAUGGCGAAGGCAGGUCUCUGGGCUGACACUGACGCUCAUGCACGAAAGCGUGGGGAGCAAACAGG
RNAcentral lists this ribosomal RNA (253 nucleotides) under uncultured bacterium. RNAcentral describes it as "partial 16S ribosomal RNA". It matches the Rfam family "Bacterial small subunit ribosomal RNA", at positions 524 to 776 of the family's 1533-position model. The record is from RNAcentral.